UACGUAGGGGGCAAGCGUUGUCCGGAUUUAUUGGGCGUAAAGAGCGUGUAGGCGGCUGGGUAGGUCCGUUGUGAAAACUCGAGCUCAACCUCGAGACGCCGAUGGAAACCCUCCAGCUAGAGUCCGGAAGAGGAGAGUGGAAUUCCUGGUGUAGCGGUGAAAUGCGCAGAUAUCAGGAAGAACACCCGUGGCUAAGGCGGCUCUCUAGUACGGUACUGACGCUGAGACGCGAAAGCGUGGGGAGCGAACAGGG
RNAcentral lists this ribosomal RNA (253 nucleotides) under uncultured bacterium. RNAcentral describes it as "partial 16S ribosomal RNA". It matches the Rfam family "Bacterial small subunit ribosomal RNA", at positions 524 to 777 of the family's 1533-position model. The record is from RNAcentral.